RNAcentral lists this ribozyme (117 nucleotides) under Aedes aegypti (yellow fever mosquito). RNAcentral describes it as "drz-agam-1 ribozyme". It matches the Rfam family "drz-agam-1 ribozyme". Lineage: Eukaryota; Metazoa; Arthropoda; Insecta; Diptera; Culicidae. The record is from Rfam by way of RNAcentral.
UGCCCAGCAACUCCUAUCCCUACCUCCUCGUGGUACUGGCCCGGGUACGAGUAACCUUAGGGAAGAUCGGAUAACCAAUCCCUGGUGGGAACUUUGGUAAUAUGCUGACAGGGAAGG